Long non-coding RNA from Fukomys damarensis (Damara mole-rat), 336 nucleotides. RefSeq lists it as uncharacterized. The record is from RefSeq and is a predicted model, not a curated record. The transcript has 2 exons. Lineage: Eukaryota; Metazoa; Chordata; Mammalia; Rodentia; Bathyergidae.
AAUUCAAGACCAGGCUGGGCUACAUAGUGAGUCUCAGGGAUUGAGCUCGGUUCCCUGCGCUAUGGAGGCAGGCGGCGAGACCACCACCCUCACUCGUUCAUUCUUCACCAACAGUUAGUACACGAUACCAGUGUGCCAAGACUUUUUGCUGGGCUCUGGAAAAACAGCCCUACAAGGCAGGCCAGAUCUGUCUUGUGCCCAGAGCCUGAUACUGGACCACAUCUGUGGAUACUCCAGGAAUUCUUCUAGCUACUGACCUAAAAUAUCAGCUAACGGCGAGUCUUUGUGAAGAGGAUUCACUGUAUCUCUUGUCCCAUUGUGUUUUGCUUCGUGGCA